This is a long non-coding RNA of Malania oleifera, 153 nucleotides long. RefSeq lists it as uncharacterized. The transcript has 2 exons. NCBI's taxonomy places the organism in Eukaryota, Viridiplantae, Streptophyta, Magnoliopsida, Santalales, Ximeniaceae. The record is from RefSeq and is a predicted model, not a curated record.
GCAAUAUGGAAGAAGCAGCAGCAGCAGCUGCUGAAGAACAAGAAGACCAAUACGAACCAAGCAGUAGAAAAGUGACCUUUCAAUUUGGGAAUGGUGCGAGUGGAACAUUCAUUUGAGCAAGAAAGUGCGACCCAUGUGAAAUCGUGAAGGGCA